This 497-nucleotide ribosomal RNA is filed under the name uncultured bacterium. RNAcentral describes it as "partial 16S ribosomal RNA". It matches the Rfam family "Bacterial small subunit ribosomal RNA", at positions 28 to 507 of the family's 1533-position model. The record is from RNAcentral.
GUUGAACGCUGGCGGCGGGCCUAACACAUGCAAGUCGAGCGAAUAGAUGAGGCUCUUUCUUCUCUUACGUUAGCGGCGGAUGGGUGAUUCAUACGUGGCUAACCUACCUAUAAGACUGGGAUCACUUCGGGAACCCUGAUCUAAUACCGGUUCAUAUAUUGAACCGCAUGGUUCUAUAGUGCUAGACCUUUUUGCUGUCACUUAUUGGUGUUUCCUCGUCGCAUUAGCUAGUUGGUAAGGGAAAGGCUUACCAAGGCUACGCUGCGUAGCCGAACUGAGAGGGUGAUAGGGCACACUGGAACUGAGAAACGGUCCAGAAUCCUAAGGGAGGGAGCAGUGGGGAAUAUUGGACAAAGGGCGAAAGCCUGACGGAGCAAAGCCGCGUGAGUGAAGAAGGUCUUCGGAUCGUAAAACACUUUAAGUAGGGAAGAACAAAUGUGUAAUAAUAUAUGGAUGUCUUGACGGUACCAAAAGAGAAAGCAACGGCUAACUACGUG